GAUCAGUAUUGUGUGCCAAUUUGUACGCGAUAAGGAAGGUAUAGGAUCAGUAUUUUGUGUGCCAAUUUGUACGCGAUAAGGAAGGUAUAGGAUCAGUAUUGUGUGCGCCAAUUUGUACGCGAUAAGGAAGGUAUAGGAUCAGUAUUGUGUGCGCCAAUUUGUACGCGAUAAGGAAGGUAUAGGAUCAGUAUUGUGUGCGCCAAUUUGUACGCGAUAAGGAAGGUAUAGGAUCAGUAUUUUGUGCGCCAAUUUGUACGCGAUAAGGAAGGUAUAGGAUCAGUAUUUUGUGCGCCAAUUUGUACGCGAUAAGGAAGGUAUAGGAUCAGUAUUUUGUGCGCCAAUUUGUACGCGAUAAGGAAGGUAUAGGAUCAGUAUUGUGUGCGCCAAUUUGUACGCGAUAGAAAGAAAUCGAAAACGAGGGCGAUGUCUACCCCGAACGAAACUCUCUAGCAGAACACAAGGAGGCAAUUUACCUGUCAAUAUACCUGCAGCGCUAAGUGUCAGGUGAAGCCAACAGGUGUGAGAUGCUCGAUAUGAGAUAGCCGCCGCCAAGCAGUUCUAUGUACGGCAGGAGGAAUAGAGGUGACACUCCUGAGGCUGCUGGGAAACUAAACCGACGAGACCUCUGCAAGCACGUGAGAC
Long non-coding RNA from Eriocheir sinensis (Chinese mitten crab), 642 nucleotides. RefSeq lists it as uncharacterized. The record is from RefSeq and is a predicted model, not a curated record. Lineage: Eukaryota; Metazoa; Arthropoda; Malacostraca; Decapoda; Varunidae. The transcript is spliced from 3 exons.